Panthera uncia (snow leopard) is the source of this 1519-nucleotide long non-coding RNA. RefSeq lists it as uncharacterized. The transcript is spliced from 6 exons. The record is from RefSeq and is a predicted model, not a curated record. NCBI's taxonomy places the organism in Eukaryota, Metazoa, Chordata, Mammalia, Carnivora, Felidae.
GCCUGAGGUCCUUUCGAGAAACGCGAGGAACACGGAACGGCCAAGGCUUCCGGGGAGGAGAGGACGGCGGCCCCGCACCUUUGUUUCCAGAGGUUUCCAGGCGUUUUCUGGCCGGAUCCCAGGGCCUCGUGCGAUGGGCCGGGCUGGACACCGCGCGUUUCAAAGUCACGUUUGGGAUGCUUCUUGCUGACUGUCUCGUCAAGAGGAACUGGUUCUUGGAACGAUGCCUCCGCCUUCCGAUCUGACCAGUUGCAGCCUUACCGUGUUAGCUAUCAAGUGGGGAGACCGGUGAACUCAGGGUUGCUCGUCGGACCUGAGCCACACCAGGGAAUCCAAUCACCAGAGCAUCUCAGGAUGUAGAAGGUCCUAGGUCCCCAUUCCAGAAUCAGCAAGCUAACAGAUCUGCUCAGGCAAAGAACGGGCACGGCACAUGGAUCUGGGUGAAGCAGGGUGGCCCUCUUCGUAGGUUUGGAGGUGUAGUAACCCAGAAACCCAGAGAUAAAGGUCCAGAGGGAAGGAAGCACGAAACUCUCGACGUUUUCAGUACGCCCGAGGGAAGCCGUGUGAAAGGCUCCCAACCGGAGAAUGAAGAUCACUGAGUUCCAGAAACAUUUAAGAAAGUUUGGGGAUUAUUGGACUCAGAAGCUGGUGACAGGCCCGGUCUGGAUGAACGGGGCCCGCCUCCUAGACCGCAAGUGCCUGCCCAUGGAGCUUCUAAGGAGGAUCCUGUCACCCUAGUGGACCACACCUCUGACCUCCAGAGACACAGAUGCCUGCCUGAAAGCCAACUUAAUCAUUCAUAACGCUAAGCAGGAUUGCCGUGUAGACCAGAUGUACAAACGUCAUGGCGGCCAUUCUCUUUCUGAAGUCAAGAUGCGAGAGUAUCCGGAAAGCAUCUGGAGCCAUCCGUUUGCAAGGAGAGAGCACCAGGAAUAUAAGCGCCACCAGGGCAAGAAUGUCUGUUUAUUUACGCUAUAUGAGUAAAUUACAGCGCUGGGAUUGAGAACGAUGUCGCCGCAGUCCAACUACCUCGGCCUGAAUCUCAGUUGAAUCAGCUGGUGGACUUUGGUAAGUUAAUAUUUAGCUGUUUUUGUGCCUCCGUAGCCCCCUCUGUAAAACGGGGGGGGGGGCAAAUCAACGAUUACGCGUGCAUCAUGGGUUUGUCGUCAUAAAAGAGGUGAUAGGGGAGAAGUGUUGAGAGUAGCGACGAGUGGAGAGCAAAUGUUCAGUAAAUGAAGCGUAGCGUUAGCCAUUGUGGAUGAUAAUGUACACAGUUGCGUAUCAAUCACCUUGUGAAGCAGAAGUAGGACUGGAGAGGCACGUACAUUAAGUAGUUUUUAAGAAGUUGAACAAGUGGAGGCGCCUGGGUGGCUCGGUGGGUUAGGCAUCCCACUUUGGCUCAAGUCAUGCUCUCGCGGUUUGUGGGUUCGAGCCCCGUGUCGGGCUCUGUGCUGACAGCUCAGAGCCUGGAGCCUGCUUCGGAUUCUGUGUCUCCCUCUCUCUGCCCCUCCCCUGUUCA